AUGCUCACUUUGGCAACACAUAUAUUAAAUUGGAAUGAUAACAGAGAAGAUUAACAUGGCCCCUGCUCAAGGAUGAAAUGCAAAUUCAUGAAGUGUUCCAUAGUAUA
Ictidomys tridecemlineatus (thirteen-lined ground squirrel) is the source of this 107-nucleotide small nuclear RNA. NCBI's taxonomy places the organism in Eukaryota, Metazoa, Chordata, Mammalia, Rodentia, Sciuridae. The record is from Ensembl.